GAGGGGAACAACCCAGACUAACAGCUAAGGUCCCUAAGUUACAUCUAAGUGGAAAACGAUGUGGAGUUACUGUGACAACCAGGAGGUUGGCUUAGAAGCAGCCAUCCUUUAAAGAAAGCGUAACAGCUCACUGGUCUAGUGAUUCUGCGCGGAAAAUAUAACGGGGCUAAGAUGUACACCGAAGCUUUAGAUUCAAUUUUUAAUUGAGUGGUAGGAGAGCGUUCUAUUCAGCGUAGAAGAUGUACCGGUAAGGAGCGUUGGAGCGGAUAGAAGUGAGCAUGCAGGCAUGAGUAGCGAUAAUUGAGGUGAGAAUCCUCAACGCCGAAAACCCAAGGUUUCCUACGCGAUGCUCGUCAUCGUAGGGUUAGUCGGGACCUAAGUCGAGUCCGAAAGGGGUAGACGAUGGCAAAUUGAUUAAUAUUUCAAUACCAACAUAUAAGCGCGAUGUGGGGACGCAUAGAGUUAAUCGAGGUCACUGAUGGAAUAGUGGCUCGAAGGACGUAGGCUGUUAAGUAGGCAAAUCCGCUUAACAUUAGGCCGAGAUCUUACAGGCUCUUGACACUCUUCGGAGGAGAUGGAGAAUCGAUGAUACUGUCGUGCCAAGAAAAGCCACUAAGUUUAUUAUAUGUUGCCCGUACCGUAAACCGACACAGGUGGGUGGGAUGAGUAUUCUAAGGCGCGUGGAAGAACCCUGGUUAAGGAACUCUGCAAACUAGCACCGUAUCUUCGGUAUAAGGUGUGCCUACUUUUGUAUAUGAACUUGCUUCAAAAAGCGAAAGAGGUUGCAACAAAGAG
RNAcentral lists this ribosomal RNA (795 nucleotides) under Aliarcobacter butzleri. RNAcentral describes it as "partial 23S ribosomal RNA". It matches the Rfam family "Bacterial large subunit ribosomal RNA", at positions 1013 to 1789 of the family's 2925-position model. The record is from RNAcentral. Lineage: Bacteria; Pseudomonadati; Campylobacterota; Epsilonproteobacteria; Campylobacterales; Arcobacteraceae.